This 465-nucleotide ribosomal RNA is filed under the name uncultured bacterium. RNAcentral's name for it is "partial 16S ribosomal RNA". It matches the Rfam family "Bacterial small subunit ribosomal RNA", at positions 28 to 507 of the family's 1533-position model. The record is from RNAcentral.
GACGAACGCUGGCGGCGUGCUUAACACAUGCAAGUCGAACGGAAAGGCCCUGCUUGCAGGGUACUCGAGUGGCGAACGGGUGAGUAACACGUGGGUGAUCUGCCCUGCACUUCGGGAUAAGCCUGGGAAGCUGGGUCUAAUACCGGAUAGGAGCCAUUUUUAGUGUGAUGGUUGGAAAGUUUUUUCGGUGUAGGAUGAGCUCGCGGCCUAUCAGCUUGUUGGUGGGGUAAUGGCCUACCAAGGCGGCGACGGGUAGCCGGCCGGAGAGGGUGGACGGCCACAUUGGGACUGAGAUACGGCCCAGACUCCUACGGGAGGCAGCAGUGGGGAAUAUUGCACAAUGGGCGCGAGCCUGAUGCAGCGACGCCGCGUGGGGGAUGACGGCCUUCGGGUUGUAAACUCCUUUCGCUAGGGACGAAGCUUUUUGUGACGGUACCUAGAUAAGAAGCACCGGCUAACUACGUG